GAUGAACGCUGGCGGCGUGCUUAAUACAUGCAAGUCGAACGGGGAGUAGCAAUACUUCUAGUGGCGAACGGGUGAGUAACGCGUGGGUGACCUGCCCCGAAGUGUGGGAUAACAGUUCGAAAGGACUGCUAAUACCGCAUGUGGUCACAGGGUUCAGAAGCCUGUGACGAAAGGAGCGAUCCGCUUUGGGAGGGACCUGCGUCCCAUCAGCUAGUUGGUAAGGUAGCGGCUUACCAAGGCGACGACGGGUAGGGGACCUGAGAGGGUGACCCCCCACACUGGCACUGAAACACGGGCCAGACACCUACGGGUGGCAGCAGUAGGGAAUAUUGCACAAUGGGCGCAAGCCUGAUGCAGCAACGCCGCGUGCGCGAUGAAGGCCUUCGGGUCGUAAAGCGCUUUUCUGGGAGACGAGGAAGGACGGUAUCCCAGGAAUAAGGCUCGGCUAACUACGUGCCAGCAGCCGCGGUAAAACGUAUGAGCCAAGCGUUAUCCGAAUUUACUGGGCGUAAAGCGCGUGCAGGCGGCUGAGUAAGUGGGCUGUAAAAUCUCCCGGCUCAACUGGGAGGCGACGGUCCAGACUGCUUGGCUCGAGGCAGGUAGAGGGAGGUGGAAUUCCGGGUGUAGUGGUGAAAUGCGUAGAUAUCCGGAGGAACACCAGUGGCGAAAGCGGCCUCCUGGACCUGACCUGACGCUGAGAUGCGAAAGCUAGGGGAGCAAACGGGAUUACAAACCCCGGUAGUCCUAGCCGUAAACGAUGUGUACUGGGCGUCGGUGUGGGAAAAAGCCAUCGGGUGCCGAAGCCAACGCGAUAAGUCCACCGCCUGGGGGACUACG
RNAcentral lists this ribosomal RNA (837 nucleotides) under uncultured Chloroflexota bacterium. RNAcentral's name for it is "bacterial SSU rRNA". It matches the Rfam family "Bacterial small subunit ribosomal RNA", at positions 28 to 884 of the family's 1533-position model. Lineage: Bacteria; Bacillati; Chloroflexota. The record is from RNAcentral.